AGCCGCGGUAAUACGUAGGGAGCAAGCGUUGUCCGGAAUUACUGGGCGUAAAGGGCGCGUAGGCGGGGUUAUAAGUUAGGUGUGAAAACGUAGGGCUUAACUUUACGAUUGCACUUAAAACUGUAAUUCUUGAGUACAGGAGAGGAAAGUGGAAUUCCUAGUGUAGCGGUGAAAUGCGUAGAUAUUAGGAGGAACACCAGUGGCGAAGGCGACUUUCUGGACUGUAACUGACGCUGAGGCGCGAAAGCGUGGGGAGUGAACGGGAUUAGAUACCCCGGUAAUCCACGCUGUAAACGAUGGGUACUAGGUGUAGGAGGUAUCGACCCCUUCUGUGCCGGAGUUAACGCAAUAAGUACCCCGCCUGGGGAGUACGGCCGCAAGGCUGAAACUCAAAGGAAUUGACGGGGACCCGCACAAGCGGUGGAGCAUGUGGUUUAAUUCGACGCAACGCGAAGAACCUUACCAGGGCUUGACAUCCCUUGACGUCUGUAGAGAUACAGAGUUUUAUCUUUCGGGAUAGACAAGGAGACAGGAGGUGCAUGGCC
RNAcentral lists this ribosomal RNA (545 nucleotides) under uncultured archaeon. Its description in RNAcentral is "bacterial SSU rRNA". It matches the Rfam family "Bacterial small subunit ribosomal RNA", at positions 513 to 1050 of the family's 1533-position model. The record is from RNAcentral.